This 212-nucleotide unclassified non-coding RNA is filed under the name rhizosphere metagenome. RNAcentral's name for it is "partial ribosomal RNA internal transcribed spacer region". The record is from RNAcentral.
GUAGGUGAACCUGCGGAAGGAUCAUUAAAAAUGAAGCCGGGAAACCGGUCCUUCUAACCCUUGAUUAUCUUAAUUUGUUGCUUUGGUGGGCCGCGCAAGCACUGGCUUCGGCUGGUUAGUGCCCACCAGAGGACCACAACUCUGUAAUAAAUGUUGUCUGAGUAAUAUUAUAAAUAAAGUUAAAACUUUCAACAACGGAUCUCUUGGUUCUG